CCACCCUGUGAUUAUAAAAAGACGCGUUAUUCUGAGGGACUCCACUGGAUGGCAGUUUUCUUACUUUGUCUGUUCUUUGUUUCUUCCUGUUCUUUCUCUCCUCCUUAUGCUUCUCUUCUAUCCCUCACUCUUAAACUGCCAGUCAGUCCGCUGACUGCGAUUAUGAGAUAUGAGGGUGU
Small nucleolar RNA from Cyprinus carpio carpio, 179 nucleotides. The record is from Ensembl. NCBI's taxonomy places the organism in Eukaryota, Metazoa, Chordata, Actinopteri, Cypriniformes, Cyprinidae.